RNAcentral lists this ribosomal RNA (445 nucleotides) under uncultured bacterium. Its description in RNAcentral is "SSU rRNA". It matches the Rfam family "Bacterial small subunit ribosomal RNA", at positions 26 to 518 of the family's 1533-position model. The record is from RNAcentral.
AGGAUUAACGCUGGCGGCGUGCCUAAUACAUGCAAGUCGAACGCGCAUUUAUGCGAGUGGCGGACGGCUGAGUAACACGUUGGUACCUGCCCCGAACCCGGGAAUAAGCACUGGAAACGGUGUCUAAUGCCCGAUAGUCUCCUUGGAGUAAAGAUUUUUCGGUUCGGGAGGGGCCUGCGCCCGAUUAGCUUGUUGGUGAGGUAACGGCUCACCAAGGCAACGAUCGGUAGGUGGUCUGAGAGGAUGAUCACCCAGACUGGGACUGAGACACGGCCCAGACUCCUACGGGAGGCAGCAGUAAGGAAUCUUGCACAAUGGGGGAAACCCUGAUGCAGCAACGCCGCGUGAAGGAAGACGGUCUUCUGAUUGUAAACUUUCUUUUAUUUGGGACGAACAUUGACGGUACCAUUUGAAUAAGAGGUGCUAACUACGUGCCAGCAGCCGC